GUGCCGUCCACGCCUAAUCCGGCCUGCCCAGAGGCAGUUCGGAGCCGGGGACCCACGCGCACGACCUGGGGUGAAUCAGUCCGCAGUCCCGCGGACCGUAGGGCACCUUCCGUUCCGCCCGAACCCGACAGCUAACCCGGUAGGCGGUCCACGGAAGGAGAU
This 162-nucleotide small RNA is filed under the name Streptomyces agglomeratus. RNAcentral describes it as "c-di-AMP sequence". It matches the Rfam family "c-di-AMP riboswitch aptamer (ydaO/yuaA leader)". From Rfam's summary of the family: This family represents a conserved RNA structure found upstream of the ydaO and yuaA genes in Bacillus subtilis and related genes in other bacteria. The ydaO/yuaA element is thought to act as a genetic "off" switch for the ydaO and yuaA genes in its native state. The record is from Rfam by way of RNAcentral. Lineage: Bacteria; Bacillati; Actinomycetota; Actinomycetes; Kitasatosporales; Streptomycetaceae.